Molecule: ribosomal RNA, 395 nt
Filed under: uncultured Chrysophyceae
Lineage: Eukaryota; Chrysophyceae
Description: partial small subunit ribosomal RNA
Rfam family: Eukaryotic small subunit ribosomal RNA
Source: RNAcentral
GCUUGUCUCAAAGAUUAAGCCAUGCAUGUCUAAGUGUAAAUAAGUCUAUACUGUGAAACUGCGAAUGGCUCAUUAAAUCAGUUAUCGUUUAUUUGAUGAUCUCUUACUACUUGGAUAACCGUAGUAAUUCUAGAGCUAAUACAUGCGUCAAACCUCGACUUCUGGGAGAGGUGUAUUUAUUAGAUGGAAACCAAUGCGGGGCAACCCGGUUCAUGGUGAUUCAUAAUAACUUUCGGAUCGACCUUUCGGUCGAUGCAUCAUUCAAGUUUCUGCCCUAUCAGUUGUGGAUGGUAGGGUAUUGGCCUACCAUGACUUUAACGGGUAACGGAGAAUUAGGGUUCGAUUCCGGAGAGGGAGCCUGAGAAACGGCUACCACAUCCAAGGAAGGCAGCAGG